Non-coding RNA from Picea glauca (white spruce), 129 nucleotides. NCBI's taxonomy places the organism in Eukaryota, Viridiplantae, Streptophyta, Pinopsida, Pinales, Pinaceae. The record is from Rfam.
UCUUAUGUACAUACCUACAACAUAACAUUAAUGCAUCGGAUCCCAUUAGAACUCUAUAGUUAAGCAUACUUGGGCUAGAGUGGUGUUGGGAUGGGUGACCACCCGGGAAGUCCUACUAUUUUACAUGCC